AGCAGCCGCGGUAAUUCCAGCUCCAAUAGCGUAUAUUAAAGUUGUUGCAGUUAAAAAGCUCGUAGUUGAAUUUCGGGAUCAAUACGUCGGUCGUGCUUCGGUACGUACUGGCGUAAUUGAUUUCUCCCUUCUGACGAACCAUGAUGUCAUUAACUUGGUGUCAUGGGAAAUCAGGACUGUUACUUUGAAAAAAUUAGAGUGUUUAAAGCAGGCUAACGCUUGAAUACAUUAGCAUGGAAUAAUGAAAUAGGACGUUCGAUCCUAUUUUGUUGGUUUCUAGGAUUGACGUAAUGAUUAAUAGGGAUAGUUGGGGGCAUUAGUAUUCAAUUGUCAGAGGUGAAAUUCUUGGAUUUAUUGAAGACUAACUACUGCGAAAGCAUUUGCCAAGGAUGUUUUCAUUAAUCAAGAACGAAAGUUAGGGGAUCGAAGACGAUCAGAUACCGUCGUAGUCUUAACCAUAAACUAUGCCGACUAGGGAUCGGAUGAUGUUAAUUUUUUAAUGACUCAUU
This 509-nucleotide ribosomal RNA is filed under the name uncultured Glomus. Its description in RNAcentral is "SSU rRNA". It matches the Rfam family "Eukaryotic small subunit ribosomal RNA", at positions 569 to 1080 of the family's 1831-position model. The record is from RNAcentral. Lineage: Eukaryota; Fungi; Glomeromycota; Glomeromycetes; Glomerales; Glomeraceae.